This is a small nucleolar RNA of Macadamia integrifolia, 84 nucleotides long. The record is from RefSeq and is a predicted model, not a curated record. Lineage: Eukaryota; Viridiplantae; Streptophyta; Magnoliopsida; Proteales; Proteaceae.
AAGCCUAUGAUGAUUUUGCUUUUAUAUUUUGGAAUUACCGUCUGAAUUUUUCUCUUGAUGAGAAUUGGCAAUCUGAGGCUUCUA